Molecule: ribosomal RNA, 566 nt
Filed under: uncultured bacterium
Lineage: Bacteria
Description: bacterial SSU rRNA
Rfam family: Bacterial small subunit ribosomal RNA
Source: RNAcentral
CCUACGGGAGGCAGCAGUGGGGAAUAUUGCACAAUGGGCGGAAGCCUGAUGCAGCGACGCCGCGUGAGGGAUGGAGGCCUUCGGGUUGUAAACCUCUUUCAGCAGGGACGAAGCGUGAGUGACGGUAUCUGCAGAAGAAGCACCGGCUAACUACGUGCCAGCAGCCGCGGUAAUACGUAGGGUGCGAGCGUUGUCCGGAAUUACUGGGCGUAAAGAGUUCGUAGGCGGUUUGUCGCGUCGUUUGUGAAAACCCGGGGCUCAACUUCGGGCUUGCAGGCGAUACGGGCAGACUUGAGUGUUUCAGGGGAGACUGGAAUUCCUGGUGUAGCGGUGAAAUGCGCAGAUAUCAGGAGGAACACCGGUGGCGAAGGCGGGUCUCUGGGAAACAACUGACGCUGAGGAACGAAAGCGUGGGUAGCAAACAGGAUUAGAUACCCUGGUAGUCCACGCCGUAAACGGUGGGCGCUAGGUGUGGGUUCCUUCCACGGAAUCUGUGCCGUAGCUAACGCAUUAAGCGCCCGCCUGGGGAGUACGGCCGCAAGGCUAAAACUCAAAUGAAUUGACGG